UCUUCUAAAUAAAGACUAGUAUGAAAGGCACCACGAGGAUUAAACUGUCUCCUUCCUCUAAUCAGUGAACCUAAUCUCCCCGUGAAGAAGCGGGGAUAUUUNUAUAAGACGAGAAGACCCUAUGGAGCUUAAAACACACUACACGAGCCACCUAAUUUAUGUAACUGAGGUUCUUAAAUACCCCCCCUUCGGCACGCUGAUUAUAUGUUUUCGGUUGGGGUGACCACGAAGAAUAAAAUACCCUUCAUGAUGAAUAGGGCACUCCCCUAAACAACAAGCCACGACUUUACUUAUCAAUAAAUUGACAUUCAUUGACCCAAUAAUUUGAUCAACGAACUAAGUUACCCUAGGGAUAACAGCGCAAUCCACUUUAAGAGUUCAUAUCGACAAGUGGGCUUACGACCUCGAUGUUGGAUCAGGGUAU
This 424-nucleotide ribosomal RNA is filed under the name Pristimantis caryophyllaceus. RNAcentral's name for it is "partial 16S ribosomal RNA". It matches the Rfam family "Bacterial large subunit ribosomal RNA", at positions 1972 to 2545 of the family's 2925-position model. Lineage: Eukaryota; Metazoa; Chordata; Amphibia; Anura; Strabomantidae. The record is from RNAcentral.